UCUCAUGCUGUAUCUAUCCAGCGACCAAUCAGUGCUCCGCAGGUCAUUGGUGCCGCCCACUGAACUGAUGCAGAGAUGAAAGCUGUACAGCAGUCUUUGCUAACGGUGUGUGCGGGACAAUAAAGCACAGCGGUCACACUGGUAAAUUCCAGAAAUAUUUUGCCUCUUCUGUUAUUGAGCAAGAGUGAAACUUGGAACGUUUGAUUAGCUCAGCUUGUUGCGCAAGGGUUAAAUGUAAUAUUGAAAAAAAAACCAGCUGUCUUGUUCUUGUUUCCUCAAUCUGCAUACACUGUUUAAACACAUUAACUUUCACCAGGCUUGGAGCUGGUGCAGCUAGUCCUCAAAAGGAUAUUUCUUCAGCGUAUAAAACAUUUCAGAAAAAAUAAAUAUUAAUCCUGCAAGGAAAAGGAACGCUGUGAUUUGUUUUUAUGACCACAUUUGUGUAUGAGUGUGUAAGAGACAUCUGCACAUGCUCAGACCUGAGAGACCUUGCCUUCAAACCACAUCCUGAUUCACACAAGAUACAAGAUCAGCUGUAAGAUCUGAGGAUUUUACCAAAUCAGCUCACCUGUUCAAACAGAUCACUUCAAACUCCUAGACAAGCCAUGGAUUUUGAGAACAGCAAAGAAGGAUGUAAAAACUGCCAAAAGAAUUGUAAUAACAAAUGCCAAUGUCAUCGUCAUACAAUAACCCAAAGUCCUAAACCUAAGCAAAGGACUGAGGAGAAGACGUCUGAAGGGCCUUCAAAAGAGUGCGGCUUCUGUGAUUGCGGCCUCUGUUAUUUUGUCCCCUUUGACUGUGGCUCCUGUGAUUGUGGCCCCGAUGAUGGUGGCUCUGGUGGUGCUGGUGAUGGUAGCUCAUGUGAUUGUGGACCCUGUGAUUGCGACCCCUGUGAUUGCGGCCCCUGCGAUUGCGUUUCCUGUGAUUGUGGCUCCUGUGAUUGUGGCUCCUGUAUUAUUCAGUGAAUAUUUGCAGGAUGUUUGUCAGAUGGGUAUAGCAAAUGUCAGCUCCAGUGAAGAACAUCAUCAACACAAAGACAACAGCACUAUGAUCUACAAUAAACAUCAGGACAUCUGUAGUGCCAUCGUGGAUGUUAAACAUCAUAAAGACAAUAUUAUCUAUACAUAUAAAUACAGUUCCAACCAAAAUAUCAAAGUCAAUUAAAUAGCAAAUCAGUUAAGUGCUUAAUGUUUUUUCUGUAUUUAUUAAUAAUAUUCCUAAAUAGGUUAACUAUAUCCUCAAAUAUGAGUAAUAGGUAUUACAUCUUACUUAUUCUUUAAAAGUCUUACAAUGCAAUUUGCCUUAUACAUUUACAGAAAAACCAGAGUACAGGCAGUUUUAGUUUAAAGCUAAAAAGAUUAUAAUCGCUAAUUAUAAAUUAUAAAAUUAUAAGAGCCUAUUUGAAAAAUACUGUUCGCUGAUGCUAACUGGCAAGUUAACUAGCUACCUGAUGCUAACUUGAGGUAAUUUUAAAUAACUACGAUGAUUGCCCAGACUAUUUGAGAAAAAAAAUAUGAUGUCAUUCUAAAUAUAUUUAUAUGUUUCUUAAAUAACAUGUUCUAUGGACCUAGUGUUUUCAUAACUUAUAUAACUGUGAUUUUCUACAAAACAAACUUUAAAACACUUUUUUGUGUCUAUUACUCCUGAAAAUUAGUUCAUUUACUGUGAAAUGUAUUGUCUCUCAAGGUACUUCACCAGUGUAAGCUUUGUCGUGAAUACUUCUACGUCCCUCUUGUCAAUGCAGUUACAUAGUGACAAUAAAAUGUAUCUUGACUUG
Molecule: long non-coding RNA, 1777 nt
Organism: Carassius auratus (goldfish)
Lineage: Eukaryota; Metazoa; Chordata; Actinopteri; Cypriniformes; Cyprinidae
Exons: 3
Source: RefSeq, a predicted model, not a curated record